CAGCAGCCGCGGGAAUACGGAGGGAGCUAGCGUUGUUCGGAAUUACUGGGCGUAAAGCGCACGUAGGCGGCUUUGUAAGUCAGAGGUGAAAGCCUGGAGCUCAACUCCAGAACUGCCUUUGAGACUGCAUCGCUUGAAUCCAGGAGAGGUGAGUGGAAUUCCGAGUGUAGAGGUGAAAUUCGUAGAUAUUCGGAAGAACACCAGUGGCGAAGGCGGCUCACUGGACCGGUAUUGACGCUGAGGUGCGAAAGCGUGGGGAGCAAACAGGAUUAGAGACCCCCGUAGUCCCUGUCUCUUAUAC
This 301-nucleotide ribosomal RNA is filed under the name uncultured bacterium. RNAcentral's name for it is "partial 16S ribosomal RNA". It matches the Rfam family "Bacterial small subunit ribosomal RNA", at positions 509 to 807 of the family's 1533-position model. The record is from RNAcentral.